This 15021-nucleotide long non-coding RNA is filed under the name Hordeum vulgare. RNAcentral describes it as "long non-coding RNA (HVUL_LNC014829)". Lineage: Eukaryota; Viridiplantae; Streptophyta; Magnoliopsida; Poales; Poaceae. The record is from RNAcentral.
GGUUCGGGCACAGCGCGCGACGGGAUGGUUCUGUCCAUGGCGCUGUGCUGACCCCAAGUCGCUUAUCGAUCGCCAUGGCGAUUUCCGGCCCGGGGGAUGCCAAAGGUGCCUCUGGCAUCACGCAGAGAGCUCUGGCCAUCGCGCCACAUGCCGGCGAGCACCGGGUGAAGAGCAGAUGAUGGCAGCGGCCAGCGCGCUCACGCAUUCCAGGGGCUGUUUGUUGCCUCCACGCCACGCCCACAACCUGCUCGACGCUGGUCCUCCUCCGUUGAAUGCCCAUGUCCUCUCUACCGAACCCACUGAGCGUUGCUGGCUUGUUCGGGCACGGAGCAUCGCAUGAGUGGAAUACUUCAUGUUAAGCUCACACUGCAGUCUGCACAAGCUGUUUCUUACAAAGGACGGGGUCACGGGGGACAUAUGGUGGAGCACUACAAAGAGGACAGGUUUAAUGCAAUUGUUCGUCCUGCAAAGAUUUUCACCAGCGCAUCAUAUAAGGUUUGCCCAUAAAGUCCAUAACUAUUUUCAAUCUCCCCUUUUUGAUUUUUUUUGACCAUGGGCUUGGCAUCGCAUGUUCCUUCUAGUAAUUCCUUUCAAUCAUUUUGAGCUCAUACUGAUCAGAACCACAGAAGACACAAAGUAAUCUCACAUAGUUUUAGGAGGAAAAGACAAAAGUAUGUUGCGUGUGACCAUGAAAAGUAAACAUAUGUUAGUAAAGAAAGAACAAACAACCUGACUUUCUCAUAUUGCACUCAGUUAUGCCCCAAACUCAAACAAUUAUCAAACCUUGAUUUACACACUAUCUGUAUUUACAAAUCGUUCUUCAGUCACACAACAUUUCAAUGCAAUGGCGAUAGCGAAACCUUGAUGUUUACUAGUACCAACACACUAUACUACACCUCAAGUAAAUAGCAUACAAAUGUACAAAUAGCAACAAAAAUAUACACACUCUAAGGUGAAUGCAGUAUCAAGCUUUUGGUAAUUCAGAUUUUGUGUGUCCAGGCUUGCCUAUGAUAGCUUUCUUCACUUUUGCUAGUUGGUGCUUUACCUUUGAUCCGACACCAGAUAAGAUAUUAUGCUUUUUAGGCGAUGACUUCUGCCCUGCCUCCCGUUCUUCAAUUUUCAUUGGUGUGUCAUCAGCGAAAUUCUUAGCUUCCUCGUCACCAUUUGUCUUUUUGUCAUAACUCUUCUCUUCUGCAAUGUUUGAUACAUCUUUCUUUGGACUUUGUUCUUCAUCUGUGCUGAACUCUGGCUCUUUUAUAUCCACAGAAUUUUCUUCACUCUCAGGAGCUUCUGUUGGUGAAAUCACAUCGAGAUUAUGUUUCUGAUUGUGUGAUGCCUUUUGUACUGCUCCUUGUUCUUCAAUUUUGGCUUUCGCUUCAUCAGUGAAACUCUUAGCUUCCUGUACAUCCUUUGUCUUCUCAUCAGAAGUUUUCUCUCCUGCCAUAUUUGAUUCAUCUUUCUUUGGACUUUGUUCUUCAAUUAUGCUGAAUUCUGGCUUUGACUGCACAAAAUUUUCUUCAACCUCAGGAGCUUCUUCUGGUGAAGCCACAUCGAGAUCACGUUUCUGAACCUGUGAAUUAAAUGUUUCUUGCUCUUCAUUUGAUUGUGCGUUCACUGUUUGCACAUGGCUAUCAACAGUUUCGUUUACAUUCACUUCUUUGAUCACAGGCUCUCUUAUGGCCAAAUAAUUCUGAUCACCUUCAUCAGAUUCUUUAGGAGAUUUUUGUGCAACUUCCGUUUCCUGCUCCAUCUGCAAAUUAGAUUCUCCUGACUUAUCUAGCAGGUUGUUCUUCUCCAUCACAAUUUGGUCGCCUGCAGAUUCAUCUUGCUUAUCUUGGUCUAUAUGUAAGCUGGAACCAUCUAACUGAAUUUCCAAAGCUUUCUCAGAGUUGUCUAGGUCACUGUUUGAGAACUUAUAGCUUUGUUUUUCAUCCUUGCACUCUGAGACUGCAGAAAUCUCCUUUUCCUGAACCAAAUUUAUCUCAUUGCCCAUAACUGGUUCAGUAAUUUCACCUUUCUGCUCAUCAGAUAUUGCUUCUGCACCUUUGUGCGAGAUAUCAUGCAUAUUUUCUAUCUGUUCUUCUGUAGCUCCACCUGUGGUAGUUAUCUGCUGAUUCUCUUCUUCCUUGUCUACUCCAUUCUCCAGUUCUGCCUCUACAGUACUUUCGCCCUCAAUGAUGGAAGAUUCAUUGGACUCUUCUCUUUUUGUGCUCAGAGGACUUUGAAGAUCAUCAGUGUUAUUAGGAAAAUCCUUUUCAUCACCCAUAUUUGGUUCUGUCGACAAGAGUGUUUGCCCGGAUACUGCAUCAGAACUUCUAUUUUCAGGUAAAUGCUUGUGGUGAAGGUCUGUUCUUCCUUCCUCUAAUGCCUCCUCUUGAGAAACCUUUGGGCUUGUUAUGUCAUCAAGGUUGCUCUUCAAGCUUCCUUCCUCAAUCUGUGUUGUCGCUUCCAUAUGUUCCUGACAAACAGAAUUGGUUGCCUUUUCACCCAGCUUGAUAUCUCUUGUUUCCAUUUCUGUAAUCAGGCCAGAUCCACCAGGUACCACCAGUUCACUGGAAGUUUCACCUUGGACACUGUUUUGGCAUACUGGUGCUUCCAAAUCAUGAGUGUUCCUAUUGAGUUCCUCAUCCUUUUCCAGCUUGAUAUCAUGUGUUUCUUCAGAGCCUUCUAAAUUAUGUUUUCCUUUUUCAGAAAUGAGUUCCUUUUCCACCAUAUUUUCUGUAGGAAUUGGCACCAAGCUUUCUUCCUGCUCCGAGGUGAUCAAAGAACUGUCAUCUUUUGUGGUUUCUUCUUGCUUCUUUUCAGCUUCAAAUUCUGAAUUUCCAUCUGGCUCAUUGCUCUCUUUUCCCAUUAUCAGGUUCAUCAGAAAAUGGGAGACAGGCAAAUCACUUUGUUCAGCUUCGUUUUCUUCUUUCUCCGUGUCACCAGUUUCUUGCUCUUGUAUGUUCUCUUCACCUUGUUCUUUGGUUAUUUGAUUCUCUUCUUGCUCUUCUGAUUCGGUGGGGAGUGGCUUCUCUAGAAACAACUCUCUUUCUGUCACCUCUAACUCAGAUGCCUGUUCAGUUUCAUUUCUGUCCACGGCGGAGUGUGCACGAAGAUCAAACUUAUGAUGUUCAUUGUCUUCGUUUAUACUUUCUCCUGUUGCUGUAACUGCAGGUGAAGCCUCAAGAUUCCUUCCGUUCUCCUCGAUGGUCUCGAGAUUUUCAUCAGAUAGUGCCCCAUCAGCUCUACUAGCCUAGAUUGGAAAAGUGAAAUUAGCUUUAAAAGAACAAACUUAAACCUGCAUUAAUAUUAGCUAAAGAAUUUGUCCACUGACCUUAUCAUAGAUAGCUUCACCGAGUUUGAUUGAUUCAGUGGAUGCUGUAUAGCCAGUCGCUAUUUCCUCAUUCGAGUCAGUUUCAACUUCUCCACCAUUCUGCUUUGUUGCCAACUUGUCAUCUACAACCUGAAUGACAGAAUUUUUUCCGUUUAUUUCUCUUACUAUAAAGUAACAGCCUUAAAAAUUUAUUAAAAGAAGUUUUGACCAGAAAAUUUGGUCGCACAAACUUUUUAAGAGUAUCAGUACUGACCUUUGGAUGAGUGCUCAAGUCCUGCUCAACAUCAUUCUGUUUAGGAUUUUCCACCACAUAUUCUGAAAUGGAACUGAAUCCCUUGUUUUCCUCCACCUCUUCAAUUUCUGUGGGCUGUUUAUCGAUCCUUCCAUGUAUCAUUUCUGCACUUGGGCUCAUGGUAUCAUCCAUUUUAGUAUCUGUGCUGUUACUGGAAUGCAGUCCAGACGCCUCUUCAUCUACAGGUUUGGUCUCAGUUUUGUCAUGAUUAACAUCGGUGUCUUCAUUUUGUAUUUCUUCCUUCUUUUCCACCUCAUCAACGAUCUCUUCUUCUAAUGCUUGAGGGACCUGCAUACCAUCAUUGGGCUUGUUUAUGCAUUCUUCCUCUUCUGAGUGCACUCUGGACUCAAUAUUCUGAGGAACAGCUGUAGGAUCCUGCACAUCAGUUAAUUGUUCAUUUUGCUGAUCAUUAUGAUAUCAUUAAAUAUUGAGAGUGACUGGUAUCUUUGUUUCUUGCACAGCAGGUGAAGAAACAAGCUACUCUGUACCACUGAAAUGACAGACGGAGAUACUGUGUAGAAGGGUUUUUUCUACUGGCUGCAAAUCUCAAGCUCAUGUCUCUUCAUUUUAUUGAUAUUCUAUAUUGCCUGUACAAUUUGUUUUGUUAUUGCAAUCUUACUUCGUUUUUCUUUAAUUUUAAUCUUAUCUGCCGUUAAAAAUGGGGGAUUCUCUUUAAAGGAGUCCAAAUGUUUCAUCUUUGAUAUAGUUACCUUAAAGAUGGAAAAGGCUUAUUAUCAUUUCAAACUAUAUGAAAUCACGAGCAGUAAUCACGUCAAUAAUUCUUACAUUCUCUUGCAUUUCUUCAUUUGAAGGAGCUAGGUCAGAUGUUUUCUGAAGAUCCUUCUCGAUGGGUGAUCCCAAAUCAUUUUUAACCUACAAGAUGAGUAAAAACAUAGUACGUUUAGCAUUACUGUCGAGAAGUUUCCACCAAUCAUCAGUACCGUGUUUUUUAGCUCUGCACUGUAAAAUUUUAACAUAUGUUGGUGUACGCCAUUGUGAACCCCGUAUGAGUCAUUCUUUUAUUUCGAUCUUAAUGAUGCUUCUGCUUAAUAGCGAGCCAUUCAUAUAUGAAGUGUACUGGGAGUAGUAGGUAUUAGUGUUUAAUAUAUUGUCACGAGAUGGAGAUGAUAAUUCUUGAAAAAAUAGCUUGCUAAUCAAUGUUACAUCGCGCUCAGGGUGAUAUCAGUUACAUGUAUUUGAAAAAUAUUGCCCUUUAAAAUUUAACAUUUUUCUAUAUACUAACAUGGAAAAUUAGUGAUUCUUAGAACAUACUUUAGAGACCUAAAAGUUUUAAGUUUGAACUUAUGAGGUCCAGUAUAGAAGUUUUUAAUGAAACAACAUCAUGCCUAAAUUUAUCAUACUGCGUUAGUCAGAAUUUUGGACUGACCUCUUCAUUUAUAGUUUCAUCAGUUGUUCCAUCAUGUUUGUCAGUAGAAAUUUUUGCUGCUGCUGCAUCCAUUUCUGUAUUCUCCUUCUCAUCUUCCUUACAUUUUUCAGCAUCAGCAUCAUUAUGUAAAGUGCCAGUGUUGUUGGGUGCAUCUUCUUGUUCAGUUGUUUCUUCUAUUUCCGUGGAGUUCUCAACCAUGGAAUUCUCAACCUUCGCAUCUGUAACGCUUGGAAUGGAUUGUUGGGGUAUAUGUAGGGUUUGUUCAUUCUUGAGCAUUUCAGUAGCCACUGUCUCUGUUUGUUCAGCCUGGACAAUCAUUAAAGAGGAGCUGCAUGAGAAAAGUUUGAAGAUAAAUUACAAAAUGUAUCGAGUUUUAGAAAUCUUCACCUCAAACACAUCAGCAUCGUCUUUCCCUUUUGUUGUGUCAUUUUCAUUGCUCUGGGGCUCCAAUAUUGUUUCUGUGGUGAAAUCAGCCCUACUGUCAUCAUGUUUCUGCUCAUCUGUCUGUAUUUCUUCCUUUUGCUUUUCAAUCGCCUCAUCUUCUUUCUGCUGCUGAUCCAAGUUAACCUUUUGUACGUGCUCAUCUGGCUGCUCAGUGGUUAAAACAUCCACUGACCGCUCACAAACUUGCAUUUGAAGCUUCACAUUGUGAAGUUGCUCGUCAUCUUGAUCAUUGGUAUGGUCACCACUUUUUAUUGCAUCGUGUUCAGUUACAGAUUUUGGCUGUUCUUUGAUUUGCUCAAUAUUGUUUGAAGUCCCUGCUGUAUCUUCACCAGAUAUUUGUACAACAUCCUCCUCAGUAGCGCUCUCAUCUUUCUGAGUUGUAAAAGCAGUUUUUUCACCCAAGUCAGAUGAUUCGUCCUGUAUCAAAUGUAUCAGUGAGUUCUCCUGUGAGUAUGCUCAAAUUCAGACGAGUAGUGGCAAUUUUUUGCUGCUGUUACAGAUUGCAGAAUUAUGCAACUGAAAUGGAAUGCUUUUAAAGUACAAAUCUUCAAUCUAGUUUGCACUGCACAACUUCAGGCAGAAAUCAGUUGUACAUCACUUGGUUAAAUCUUUAUAAUUUUUUGUAUACACCAUCAUUGUCAGACAAUGAUAGCAGUCAACCUACAAGCCGCUAAUUAUAUGUGUCUCUUGCUAGAUAGUGCUUCUUUGUAUGAUGGAUGAUAGUGCUUCUGUGUCUCUUGCUAGAUACAAUGUUGCAGCGGAAUUAGAUGUAUCGAGGUUAUUUAUACAGUUCAACCAAAACGACCUACUUACAUUUUUUAAAAUCAUCCAAACAUCAGUUACAAUAUAUUUUGGAGUUCUGAAUAAGUUUAGUAUUACCUACAUCUCUUAAUAGUCUAACAUAUAUCCAAGUGAUAUAAGUGCUAAAUGUCUCAGAUAGAUGAAAGGAACUAUCGGUUAAGGGCACGUACCUUUUGUUCUAUUGGCUCUUGUACUUCCUCUUUGAUGUUUUCAUCUGCCAAGAUUGUGUUGCUAAUUUUAUUACCCAAGUUUUCUUUGUCUAACUCCACAGGAUUUUGUUCUGGCUCGGUUCCAUGAUCUGUUGGAGAUGGAUCCUCCAAAGUAGCAACUUCUGUUUUUUGAGUGGAAAUUUCUUCAUCAUUGAUGCCUUCAGUGGCCGUCAUUUGUUCCAAUUCAUCCAUGCCAUUUACUUGCUGAAUAUCAGAAGUUAGCUCAACUGUUGCUAUAUCACUUUCUGAAACUGGCUCCUCUAACCCAGGAUCUUGGCAUGGAUGGGAGGCUUCUUCACCUUCAGUUGCAUCAAUACAUUUGUUUUCUUCACCUUCAUGCUCUUGUUUAGAAUCAGCAAGCUGGUUGAUUUCAUUUGCAGCAUUAUCUUCUGCAGUUGGUUCUCCAAGGGUGGCACCAUUACUUUGGCCUGUUUCUUCUGCCUUUACUAGUUGACCCUUGCUGUCUUCAGCCAAUUCUGAUUGAUGUGCUGAUUGGACAAGCAAAUUUGGGUCACUUCCUGGUUCACUGCUGGCGUUCUGUACAUGUGUAUCUUGAGUAUGCUCCACUACCGUUGUUUCUUCUUCUGUUGGAGUAAGCUCAGCAGAAGUAGGAUCAAUGCUUUGUUGGGGUUCCCCUUGGUUUUCUGUGGUGUCAGUGCACGUCUUCUCUUCAAGCGCUUCUUGUUCCGGGACUUGCUGAAUAUCAAGAAGUGGUGCACUUGCUGUCAAAUCAUCAUCUGUACUCUCACGAGGGAUUUCUCCAGUCUGCAUGUCUUCAGUGUCAUUUAUCUCUUCUGCUGGGACAUUAACCGCUGAUAUACUAUCUUCCGCUUCAACAGGUUCAGUAUUCUUGAUCUCUUCUAGUGCUGUUUCCUGUGUUGUUGGUAUAUCGACUUGUACAUCAGGAGCUAUCUUGUCCGCAAGACCAACAUCUUCAGUGAGCUCGCUGAUGUUUGCAUCAGUGCUCUUCUUGACUGCUUCAAUUUCCAUGGUUCCAGUGCCCUUCACUUCUUCUGCUGGUAGGUCAGGUGCUGAUUUGUUUUCUUCCAUCUCAACAGGUUCAGCAUUCUCGAGCUCUUGUAGUUCUGACACUUGUGCUUCUGGUAUAUCAUCUGUUGCCUCAGCUGCCAUUACAUGUUCUUCAGGAGCUGCCUCAUCUGCAUGAGCAACAUUGCCUCUUACAUCCUCGGUGAGCUCACUGAUGUUUACAUCAGCGAUCUCGUUGAUUGCUUCAGUUUUCUUGGCUUCAGUCUCCUUCACCUCUUCUGCCGACAGCUCAUUUGCUGAUAUGUUUUCUUCCACUUCAAUAGGUUCAGUAUUCUUGAUUUCUUCUAGGUCUAGCUCUUGUGCUCGUGGGAUAUCAACUGGUGCCUCAGUUGCUAUUACAUGCUCUUCAGGAGCAGCCUCAUCUGCAGGAGCAACAUUGCUUGUCACAUCCUCAGUGAGUUCGCUGAUGUUUGCAUCAGGGCUCUUGUUGAUUGCUUCAGUUUCCUUCACCACUUCUGCUUGCAGGCCACUUGCUGAUCUAUUUUCUUCCACCUCAACUGGUUCAACACUCUUGAUCUCUUCUAGUUCCGGCUCCUGUGCCUGUGGUAUAUCAAAUGUUGUCUCAGCUACUGUUACAUGCUCUGCAUGAGGUUCCUCGUCUGCAGGCACAACGUUGCUUUUCACAUCCUCAUUGAGCUCACUGAUGUUUGCAUCAGUCCUUUUGCUGAUUGCUUCAGUUUCCUUCACCUCUUCUUCUGGCAGGUCACCUGCUUCAGUAUUCUUGAUCUCUUCUAGCUCUGGCUCUUGUGCAUGUGGUAUAUCGACUGUUGUCUCAGCUACUGUUACAUGUUCUUUAUGAGCUGCCUCAUCUGUAAGAGCAAUGUUGCAUUUCAUAUCUUCAGUAAGCUCACUGAUGUUUGCAUCAGUGCUCUCAUUGAUUGCUUCAGUGUCCUUCACCUCUUCUGCCGGUAUGUCACUCGCUGAUGUGUUUUCUUCCACCUCAACAGGUUCAGUAUUCUCGAUCUCUUCUAGUUCUGGUUCUUGUGCUCGUGGAAUAUUAACUGUUCCCUCAGUUGCUAUUAUAUGCUCUUCAUGAGCUGCCUCGUCUGCAGGAUUGACACUGCUUGUCACAUCCUCAAUGAGCUCGCUGAUGUUUGCAUCAAUGCUCUCGUUGAUUGCUUCAGUUUCCUUCACCUCUUCUGCUGGCAAGUUACCUGCUGAUCUGUUCUCCUCCACCUCAACAGGUUCAACAUUCUCAAGAUCCUUUAGUUCCGGCGCUUGUGCUUGUGGUAUAUCAACCGUUGCCUCAGCUGCUAUUACAUGUUCUUCAGGAGCUGCCUCUUCUGCAGGAGUAACAUUGCUUUUCAUAUCCUCAGUGAGCUCACUAAUGCUUGCAUCAGUGCUCUCAUUGAUUGCUUCAGUGUCCUUCACCUUUUCUGCUGGCAGGUCACUUGCUGGUAUGUUUUCUUCCACCUUAACAGGUCUAGUAUUCUGGAUCUCUUCUACUUCUGGCUCUUGUGCUUGUGGUAUAUCGACUGUAUUAUCAGCUACCGUUACAUGUUCUUCAGGAGCUGCCUCGUCUGCAAGAGCAACAUUGCUUUUCACAUCUUCAGUAAGCUCAUUGUUGUUUGCAUCAGUGCUCUCGUUGAUUGCUUCAGUCUCCACGGCUUCACUAUCUUUCACCUCUUCUGCUGGCAGAUCAUUUUCUGAUACAUAUGCUUCCACUUCAGCAGGUUCAGUGUUCUUGGUCUCUUCUAGUUCUGGCUCUUGUGUUCGUGGUAUAUCAACUGUUGCGGCAGUUGCUAUUACAUGUUCUUCAGGAGCUGCCUCGUCUGCACACACGAGAUUGCUUUUCACAUCCUCAGUAAGCUUACUGAUGUUUGCAUCAAUGCUCUCGUUGAAUGCUUCAGUUUCCUUGGCUUCAGUGUCCUUCAUCUCUUCUGCCGGCAUGUCACUAGCUGAUAUGUUUUCUUUCACUUCAACAGGUUCAAUAUUCUUGAUCUCUUCUAGUUCCGGCUCUUGUGCUUGUGCUAUAUCAACUGUUGCCUCAGUUGCUAUUACAUGUUCUUCAGGAGCAGCCUCGUCUGCAAGAGCAACGUUACUUUCCACAUCCUCAGCGAUCUCACUGAAGUUUGCAUCAGUGCUCCCAUUGGUUGCUUCAGUUUCCUUGGCUUCAUUGCCGUUCACCUCUUCUGCCGGCAGGUCACUCGCUGAUAUGUUUUCUUCCACCUCAACAGGUUCAGUAUUCUUGAUCUCUUCUACUUCUGGCUCUUGUGCAUGUGGUAUAUCAACUGUAUCAUCAGCUACUGUUACAUGUUCUUCAGGAGCUGCUUCGUCUGCAAGAGCAACAAUGUUUUUCACAUCUUCAGUGAGCUCACUGUUGUUUGUGUUAGUGCUCUCGUUGAUUGUUUCAGUCUCCAUGGCUUCAGUAUCCUUCACCUCUUCUGCUGGCAGAUCAUUUGCUGAUAUGUUUUCUGCCACUUCAGCAGGUUCAGUAUUCUUGGUCUCUUCUAGUUCUGGCUCUUGUGCUUCUGGUAUAUCAACUGUUGCCUCAGGUGCCAUUACAUGCUCUUCAGGAGCUACCUCCUCUGUAAGGGCAACAUUGUUUUGCACAUCUUCAAUGAGAUCGCUAAUGUUUGCGUCACUGCUCUCAUUGUUUGCUUCAGUUUCCCCCAUCUCUUCUGCAGGCAGGUCGCUUGCUGAUCUAGUUUCUUCCACCUCAACAGGUUCAGUAUUCUUGACCUCUUCUAGUUUCGGCUCUUGUGCUUGUGGUACAUCAACUGUUCUCUCAGCUACUGUUACAUGUUCAUCAUGAGCUGCCUCGUCUGUAAGAGAAACAUUGCUUUGCACAUCUUCAGUGAGCUCACUGUUGUUUGCAUCAGUGCUGUCGUUGAUUGCUUCUGUUUCCACGGUGUCAGUAUCCUUCACAUUUUUCGCUGGCAGAUCACUUGCUGAUGUGUUCCCUUCCACUUCAGCAGGUUCACUAUUCUUGAUCUCUUCUAGGUUUGGCUCUUGCGGUUGUGGUAUAGCACCAGUUGCUUCUGUUGCUUUUGCAUGUUCAUCAGGAGCUGCCUCAUCUGCAAGAGCAAUAUUGCUUUUCACAUCAUUGAUGAGCUCGCUGAUGUUUCCACCAGUACUCUCAUGAGGGAUCAUCUCAGUUUCCAUGGCUUCAGUAUCCUUGAUCUCUUCUGCUGGCAGGUCCCUUGCUGUUAUAUUAUCUUCCACUUCAACGGGUUCACUAUUCUUGUUCUCUUCUAAUUCUGGCUCUUGUGGUUGUGGUAUAGCAGCAGUUGCCUCUGUUGCUUUUGCAUCUUCAUCAGGAGCUGCCUCAUCUUCAAGGGCAACGUUGCUUUUGGCAUCUUCAGUGAGAUCACCAAUAUUUGCAACAGGGCUCUCAUAGUAGAUUUCUGCAACCUCGAUGGCUUCAUUCUCCUUCACCUCUUCUGCUGGCAGAUCAUUUGUCGUUACAUUUUCAUGCACGUCAACAGGCUCAGUAUUCUCCACUAGUGGUAUAUCAACAUGUGCCUCAGAUUCCUGUACGUGUUCUUUGGGAGUUUCCUCCUCAGCAAUUGCAUCAGUGCUUUUCACUUCUUUACUUUCCUCCGUCACUAUUGCUGAUUCUAAAUUCUCUGCUUGAGUGGCAGGACUUGGUUCUGUCAUCUCGUUAUCUUCUAGUGUGGACUGCUCAGAACUAAAGGCAGUGUGAGAUGGGGAGAUCCCUUGAGGUUCAGUAGCUUCAGUGUCCCUGAAUUCAACCGGUUCUUGCUCUUGAAGCUGCUGAAUGCUAACAUCUGUCAGGAUUGCUGUGUUAUCUUCUGUUGCUAUUUGUGGCUCAUUUUCUGUCAAAUUUUCUUCAGCAUGUGUUUGAUGGGAAGCUUCUUCAGUUUGAACAUCCUCACUAUUACCAAUUUUUUGUGAUUCGAGCUCCUUUGCUUGUACAUCAUUAGUUGGGUCACUUGAUAAUAACUUGUGUUCUUGAGCCGUUUCUCCAACAAUGGCCCCACUGCUUUGGUUGGAUAUUUCUUCAGCUUUCACAUCAUCAGGUUUCUCUAUCAGCUCUUCGGCGUGUACUUCUUUAAUAUCAGAAGCUGCUUCUUUUGCUGUUACAUAUUCUUCUGGAACAGACAUGCUUUCUUGCGAGAUAGCUCGAGGUUCAGUGGCUUCACUAUCUCUCAUUUCUUCAGCAGGUUCUGGUUCCAGGAUCUGUGGUUCAUUCACUGCGAUAUUUUCUUCUGUUUUGUGAUCUUCCGACUGAGUAGUAUCACUUUGAGUCAUUUCUUGACCUUCAGUGGCUUCAUUGCUGCUCACUUCUGCUGAUUCCAUCACAAGCGACUCACUUGUGGUUAGGUUAUCUUCAUGAGUUGGGUUCUCAAUGACAGCAGCAUCCAUUUGACCACAUGCUUCACUCACUUCAGUAAGCUCGGCAUUCUUCUUUUCUGACUGUAGCUCCUGCACUGAUUGCAUAUCAGCAGCUGGCUCUCUUGCAAGGUCACUGGUUCCUUGAGCUGCCUCCCUGGCAAAAACCUCAUUGCUUUGGUCAGAGAUUUCUUUUAUUCUGGUAUCUUUGUUACUCUCAACAGCUUCUGCUUGUUCCAAAUUCCCUUCUUGAUCAUCACAAGUUACUUCAUUUGCUGUUAUAUUUUCUUCUGAAGCUGGCUCCUCACAAAUGGAAACAUUACUUUCCUGGGGGAGUGCUUCAGUUUCCUUCACGUCUGCUGUUGAUCCAGUCUUUGGCACAUCACCUGGUAUACUAUCUCCUUGAGCUGGGUCAUUCAAGAGAGCAGGAUGCCAUUGAUCAGAAGCUUCUUCAGUAUCAACAGGUUCAGUGUUCUGUAUUUCUUCUGUUUCAAGCCCCCGCAUUUGCUGUUCAGACACAUCCUCAGUUGGCAGCACAUUGUUUUCUUGAUCUGCUUCUUCAACAGUUGCCACACUAGAGGUUUCGAUGAUAUUCUGAGCUGUGUUGUCCUUGAUUUCUUCUACUGAUGCUACAUUUUCUACCUCUUUGGCAUCACAGGUUGGUCCUUCUGCUGUUACAUCAUCUUCUACAGAGUCCUCCUCAGGAGCAGAAAUAGUUCUUCCAUGGCAGAUUUCUUGAGUCUCAGAAACUUCUGCGUGCUUAACUUCAGCCGAUCCUUGUUCCAGGGUUUGCUGGAUAUCAUCAUUCAAUGGUUCAAUUGCCAUAGAAUUAUCUUCUGUUACUAGUUCUUCUGAAGCAGCAGCAUGACUUUGUUGAGUGAUUUCCUGAGUUUCAAUGGCUCCAGUGUCCUUCACCUCUUUUAAUUCUAUCACCUGGGGCUGACAUGCUAGUACAUCGUCUUCUUCAGCACAGUUAUUGAUGACAUCAGCAUGUGGUUGAUUGGAAGCUUCAUCUAUUUCUACAGUUCCAGUGUUCUUAGGUUCUUCCUCUUCCAACCCUUGCACUGGUUGUAUAUCUUCUGUUGCUUCCUUAUCUUGGGUUCCAUCUUCAGCAAUUGUCACAUUGCUUUGAUCGGAGGUUUCUUCAGCUUUGGCAUCUUCAAGACUCUUUAUUUCCUCUGGUUCCACAUUAUUUAAAUGUUGGAUCUCAGAACUUGGUUCAGUGAUUGUUGCAUUAUCUUCUGGAGUUGCCUCCUCAAAAGCAAUACCACUUUGUUGAACUGUUUUCUCAGUAUCAACUUCUUUGGCAUCUGCAGUUUCUUCUGCUAGUCCCUGCUCUUGCACUUCUUCAACAUCGAGAGCUGGCUCCCUUGUCAUUGCAUCGUGUUCUGGAGUUAUCUCCUCAGAUGUGGACACAUUGCUCUCAUGAGAAGUUUCUUCAGUUUUUUCAUGCAGAGGGUCACUGGUUUCUUUUGGUGAUUCUUGAUCCAGCACUUCUUGAUCACCAUUUGUUGACUCAUCAGCUUGCUCAGUUUUAGGCAUAUCUUCGGGUACAUCUGUUUUCUUGCUUUUAGGCACCUCUUCCUGCACCAAGUCUGCAUCCACAUCAUCAGUUUUAGCACUCGGCUGAUCUUCUAGUUUGACAACCUCAAUAUCUUCAUCUUCUGGACAGUUCUCUUUAUCCACUUUGGCUGGUUCAACUGUUUUUGUGUUUCCAUCACUAGUAUCCGGAAGGGCAUCAGGUUCAUCCACAUUAGCCUCCUGAGAAGUUUGGGCUCCAGCAGGUGCUUCAGCUACAACCUCUUCACCAGGAAUAGAUGGCAUGGUUGCAGGUUGUGUGUCCUCAGUUACUUCUGCUGGUUCAAGAUUGUGGCCUUGUUGAGCAUCAAUUGUUGGCUCAACAUCAUUGUCAGGCUGCAGUCUGUCCUCGUGCACCAUUUUGUCCUCCAUUGCAUCACCUUCUACAUCUUGACAAUGUUCCUUUGGCUCUUCAUUGUCAUGUUUUAGAAGGCCGCUGGUAUCUUCUGCAGUGUUCUCAACAUGGCCUAAAGAGUCAAUUGCCUCUUUGCCAUUACUUGCGCUGCUCUGCUCGGUGCUUAUUCCAUCUGGUGAAGCUUCUACCUGCUCAUUACCUUUCUGACCAUUUUCUUGUGGCUUCUCAUUCGAGAUCUUCCCUUCUUUCAUCUGGUCAUUCAGAGAAGAAUGUGUACCAUUUGGAGUAUCUUCUUGAGGAAUUUCGAUUGCAGAGGGUGCUCUUUCUAAAAUUUGAUCCUCUGAAACCUUCAUUCCUUCAGUUAAAUCCAUUGCACUGGCUGUUGCCUCGCCCUUCAUCUCCCCAUGAGGUGAAAGCUUGCUGUCUAGGUUCAUUUGCAAAUGGGUUGUUCUUAGAUGCCCGUUUUCCACUUGAACUUCCUGGGAAACAAACAGGUAAAUCGAACAUUUAAAUCAAAGUACACCGAAUACCACUCUGGGUUGGCAUAAUUACAAAAAGGAAAACGAUGAGAAAAAGAAUACGAAACUCUGCAUUCUUAGAUUUAGUAUACUUUAAAAUUGUGCUCUUUCAAUUAUAAUUCAUACAAAAGGACAUCCAACAGUAUCAGGGUACUGUAGCACUACAAUACUACAAUUAUAAUUUCCUGCAUGACAGCAAUGGUUUCUGGCUGGCUAAUUAUGUCUCACUAGCAUGUGACACUGAAUGGCACAUGCAGGUUCAGUGCAUGUAAGAGUAUUUCAGAAACUGGUCAACAAAAUAGCAGGAAUAACUUGUUAAACAAUAAAGCAGUACCACAUGCUGACACAGCUGGCGCAAGCAGCUGAAUAUUUAACUUAGGUUUUUCAUCCAGAACCUGGCAUGUUGGACAUCCUAACUGGACAAGCUCGUGGUUCAAGGAGCCUUGGCUAAUUGUUACAUAUGUAAUUCUAUCUCUAGUAGAAUAGUGCUGCAAUUACAUGCUUCUGCAUGCUGUAAGUAACCUUUGCUUACUUUAUGCCUUUGUCUUAACACAUCACAGUUGACAAUUCACACUCAGUGUAACUUUUAGGCUGAACAGUUCUUAUAAGUGUUGACCCUCAGUCCCCCACCAUCUAUACUGUAUUCCUAAACAAACUGUUUCCUCUAGAUAGCUAGAACCGUAGAAGACAAUAUCUAGUGCUUGUUGAGUUUUCGCUAACAGUAUUUUCUUAAUAUCGAUUGAAUCUGCAUGCCAGUUAACUUCAUAUCAAGUCCAGG